GUCACUGGCUGGGGGCCUCCAGGGAGAGGGAUGGUCAGCUUUAGGGGCUGGGGGCUGAUGUGAGGACCGGGUGCUCUUGGUGGCUGCAAAUGUCCCUGGUCAUGUGGCCUUGCAGGCCAGCAAGUGGCUAUCCAUGGCCCUACCAGGAGGCUGUGUAACUUCGUUCAUUCAUUCAUUCAUUCAUUGAACAGCUGUAUCCCGGGAUCUCUGAUGUGCCAGGCACCAUCCACUGUCCCAGGCGCUCCAUUCUAUCUCCGUAUCCCUGGAACACAGCCCAGUCAUCCCUGCUCACUUGCAGUCCCUGAUGUCAGCAUGCUGAUGGAGGGGAAAGCUGUGAUUUGGCAUUAUUCAACCUCGUCAUCACCUAGAAUCUUCCGUCAAUUGCUGUGCCAAGGUCAGGUGGGAAGCCACGCUGACGCUGAUGCUGCAUGGGGCCCUGGCCUCCUGUGCAGGAGACAAAAAUCUCAGUGGUCUGCUCCCAAAGCCACAGCAGCAGAAACCCCAGGGAGACGAGCUGCGGAACUUCCCCGAGCUGCCGCCAGCCUGGGGAGAGAGCCCUUGCUGCGCUCCCUCUCAUUAAGAUUAUUUCCUCUCCUUCCUUUAAUACUUGCUUCAAAUACUCGUGCCGGGGCUGCUCAUAACAGAAUUUGCAAGGUGGGGAGACUUGAAGCUGUCCUCUUUGGGGAAAAUGGCCUGGCCUCUUCAUGCCCGGCAGCCCCCCAGCUCCC
Molecule: long non-coding RNA, 728 nt
Filed under: Ursus maritimus (polar bear)
Lineage: Eukaryota; Metazoa; Chordata; Mammalia; Carnivora; Ursidae
Description: lncRNA (ENSUMAG00000024187.1)
Source: RNAcentral